RNAcentral lists this ribosomal RNA (253 nucleotides) under uncultured bacterium. RNAcentral's name for it is "partial small subunit ribosomal RNA". It matches the Rfam family "Bacterial small subunit ribosomal RNA", at positions 26 to 288 of the family's 1533-position model. The record is from RNAcentral.
AGGACGAACGCUGGCGGCGUGCUUAACACAUGCAAGUCGAACGAGGCGCUUGCGCCUAGUGGCGAACGGGUGAGUAACACGUGAGCAACCUGCCCUUGGCUCUGGGAUAGCCGUCCGGAAACGGGGAUUAAUACCGGACAUGACCUUCUCCUGCAUGGGGGAGGGUGGAAAGUUUUUCGGCCAGGGAGGGGCUCGGCGGGCCUAUCAGCUUGGUUGGGGGGGUAACGGCCCACCAAGGCGACGACGGGUAGCC